AUUUAUUAUUGUCGUCAACUCCUACAUAUUAUUCAAA
Molecule: small RNA, 37 nt
Filed under: Arabidopsis thaliana (thale cress)
Lineage: Eukaryota; Viridiplantae; Streptophyta; Magnoliopsida; Brassicales; Brassicaceae
Description: ATSL133340
Source: RNAcentral